CUGGGAGGUCAGUGCAGGGUUCCUCCAUUUUGACAUGAGUAAAUUCUAGAUUAGGUAUUUGGCAGUUAACUCAUCUGGAUAUAUGGGAACAGAAGUGCCAGACACGUAGAUAAUAUUUGGAGAACAGGAGCAGACUUGGAACAUGCUGAAUAGAGGACAAGGAAGCAGAAGCGGUCUGUGUAGCUGAGGAAAAGAAGGAAGCUUUAGAGAGAACCAAAAACUGAUAAAUUAAUCUUUGAAAAAAUUGUUGACAACUUUUCAAAAAUUACCAGUUCAUAGACUAUGUUCACUUUAAAUGAGCGGCUUAUUUUAUCAAAUGACAGUUUUCCUAAAGACUUAUUAUUCAGUAUGGAUAGAAAUUUACUUUUCUGUCUGUCACCACAGUGAUAUUUAUUUAUGGAAAGUGGAUGAAGUUUCUCAAUUUCAAUGAGUAAAUUCUCAGUGGUAAACCGUGUCCUGUGUGUUUAAUGUCCUUGAAAGUUUUC
Molecule: long non-coding RNA, 485 nt
Filed under: Homo sapiens (human)
Lineage: Eukaryota; Metazoa; Chordata; Mammalia; Primates; Hominidae
Description: HSALNT0312867
Source: RNAcentral